CCUAACCAGAACAACCAGGUGAACGGGAAGAACCAGCAGAACUUGGAGAAACCCCCUCAGAAACCACAGCUCCCACUACAGCAGGCUGCCCAACCUCAGGCACCAGCAAAGACAUGGCCUAAAGGAUUCCAGACAGAGGCUGCCAAC
Long non-coding RNA from Coregonus clupeaformis (lake whitefish), 147 nucleotides. RefSeq lists it as uncharacterized. The record is from RefSeq and is a predicted model, not a curated record. The transcript has 3 exons. Lineage: Eukaryota; Metazoa; Chordata; Actinopteri; Salmoniformes; Salmonidae.